AUCUAGGCAAGCCCUUCAUUUUUGAAAAUGUUGAAGAAGAUGAAGAUAAAAAUGUGGACUUGGAAUUGAAGCUUUAGAAUAUAGUCAAAGGAUCACUGGCAUGAAAUAGCUCCUAAAAAGUGUUUCUCCUGUGGUAAUCACUCAAACUUAGAUUUUUAAUGGUGUUUUUCUUUAUUAGUAUAUUAGUUGUCCUUCUUGUCAUAUCCACCUAUCCCCACCCCCAC
Molecule: long non-coding RNA, 224 nt
Filed under: Solanum tuberosum (potato)
Lineage: Eukaryota; Viridiplantae; Streptophyta; Magnoliopsida; Solanales; Solanaceae
Description: long non-coding RNA (STUB_LNC006366)
Source: RNAcentral